UACAGGGGGCGCGAGCGUUGCUCGGAAUCACUGGGCGUAAAGCGUACGCAGGCGGGCCGAUAAGUCUGUCGUGAAAUCCCGGGGCUCAACCCCGGAACGGCGAUGGAGACUGUCGGUCUUGAGUACGGGAGAGGAGAGCGGAAUUCCUGGUGUAGAGGUGAAAUUCGUAGAUAUCAGGAGGAACACCGGUGGCGAAAGCGGCUCUCUGGCCCGAUACUGACGCUCAUGUACGAAAGCGUGGGGAGCAAACAGG
RNAcentral lists this ribosomal RNA (253 nucleotides) under uncultured bacterium. Its description in RNAcentral is "partial 16S ribosomal RNA". It matches the Rfam family "Bacterial small subunit ribosomal RNA", at positions 524 to 776 of the family's 1533-position model. The record is from RNAcentral.